CUGGCUUCACUUAUCUGGUGUAGAACAGGCUCUCUGGAGGCUGUUAUUAACAUUGCUCAGAAAAAUCAACAAACAGGAAGCAUCUCCAUUUUUUGGGGCCCCUUACACAACUUUUAUUGCUAAUAUUCUUUCUGUCUAGGUGGGCCAAGUGUGGCUCCCAUUAAAGAGAGAUUUGUUUACCCCCUUCAUGAAGUCUUGGCUCAUGUUUGGGGGUUUGGAGAACUACAUUCACU
Pelobates cultripes (western spadefoot toad) is the source of this 233-nucleotide non-coding RNA. The record is from the annotation of a GenBank genome assembly. Lineage: Eukaryota; Metazoa; Chordata; Amphibia; Anura; Pelobatidae.